GGCUCAAUGGUCUAGAGGUAUGAUUCCUGCUUUGGGUUACGAAAGUAGCGCCUGCUUGCAGGAGGUCCCGGGUUCGAUCCCCGGUUGAGCCC
Molecule: transfer RNA, 92 nt
Filed under: Colletotrichum higginsianum
Lineage: Eukaryota; Fungi; Ascomycota; Sordariomycetes; Glomerellales; Glomerellaceae
Description: tRNA CH063_16362
Rfam family: tRNA
About the family: Transfer RNA (tRNA) molecules are approximately 80 nucleotides in length.
Source: RNAcentral